UACAGAGGGUGCGAGCGUUAAUCGGAUUUACUGGGCGUAAAGCGUGCGUAGACGGUUAUGUAAGUCAGAUGUGAAAGCCCCGGGCUCAACCUGGGAAUUGCAUUUGAGACUGCAUAGCUAGGAUGCGGAAGAGGGAAGUGGAAUUUCCGGUGUAGCAGUGAAAUGCGUAGAUAUCGGAAGGAACAUCAGUGGCGAAAGCGACUUCCUGGUCCAGCAUCGACGUUCAGGCACGAAAGCGUGGGGAGCAAACAGG
Molecule: ribosomal RNA, 253 nt
Filed under: uncultured bacterium
Lineage: Bacteria
Description: partial 16S ribosomal RNA
Rfam family: Bacterial small subunit ribosomal RNA
Source: RNAcentral